GAUGAACGCUGGCGGCGUGCUUAACACAUGCAAGUCGAACGGAAAGGCCCUGCUUUUGUGGGGUGCUCGAGAGGCGAACGGGGGAGUAAAACGUGAGUAACCUGUCCUUGAAUGUGGGAUAACUUCAGGAAACUGGGGCGAAUAUAGGAUAGGAGCUCUUGCUGCAUGGGGGGGGUUGGAAAGUUUCGGCGGUGGGGGAUGGAAUCGCGGCAUAUGAGCUUGUUGGGCGGGUAGGGGCUGACCAAGGGUUUGACGGGUAGGCGGCCUGGGAGGGUGACCGGCCACCUUGGGCCUGAGAUACGGACCAGACUCCUACGGGAGGCAGCAGUGGGGAAUAUUGCACAGUGGGCGGAAGCCUGAUGCAGCAACGCCGCGUGCGGGAUGCCGGCCUUCGAGUUGUGAACCGCUUUCGCCUGAGACGAAGCGUGAUUGACGGUAAUGGAUAAAGAAGCACCGGCUAACUACGUG
This 468-nucleotide ribosomal RNA is filed under the name uncultured bacterium. RNAcentral describes it as "partial 16S ribosomal RNA". It matches the Rfam family "Bacterial small subunit ribosomal RNA", at positions 28 to 507 of the family's 1533-position model. The record is from RNAcentral.